This is a long non-coding RNA of Cotesia glomerata, 654 nucleotides long. RefSeq lists it as uncharacterized. The record is from RefSeq and is a predicted model, not a curated record. Lineage: Eukaryota; Metazoa; Arthropoda; Insecta; Hymenoptera; Braconidae. The transcript has 4 exons.
CGAUUGUACUGCAUGUGCAAUACGUAAUGUUUAACGACAGCCAUUGGUCACGGAUCGUGUGAUACGAGUGUUUAAUUUUAUUUUUUAAACAAUUACUGACGAUAUUUUUAUGUCAACAAUUAUUUUGUUGUAAGUUAUAACCAUUUAAAGCUUGCAUCGGAUCAAAUUUAAUAAAAUAAAACUAGAGUGUGAUGACUAAAAAAUAUCGACAGGAGCGAAGAUAAAUAAUCAGCUAAGGAGCAUUGAAGCCUGAGCUUAUGCUAAAUUAAAUGAUAGUGGAAUGAAUGCCAGAGCUUGGAGUCCAGUACAGUAACUACAUAUAAAUGUAUACAUGUCGUCCGGAGGUUGUUAUGCAGCAGACAGCACACACAUAAACAGGAGACAUGUGUGCAGAGAUACCAGCAUACAGAGCGGGUUAGGCUGGAAUAGCUGGUGAUAUUGAGGUGGUACUAAAAAAGAUAAGAUAGAGAGUCUUAUCUUCCUUGGAUUACAUUUAAGUUCACCUGCCUCUAUCCUAUCCUCUAUAUAGAGUAGAGGAUUGAGUUUUGACUCGAAUUGCAAUCUGGCGGAAGAUCGUGACUCACCUGGGAGCCGUCGGCCCCUUAUUUCAAUAAUCGAGCACUUGCGUUCCUACCGGAGGCUGGAAAAUGGUGA